GUAAAAUGGCUGAAGUUUAGGCUAUAAAUUGUAAAUUUAUUAAUGAAUAAUAUUCUUUUACU
RNAcentral lists this transfer RNA (62 nucleotides) under Ixodes vespertilionis. RNAcentral's name for it is "tRNA-Tyr". Lineage: Eukaryota; Metazoa; Arthropoda; Arachnida; Ixodida; Ixodidae. The record is from RNAcentral.